RNAcentral lists this long non-coding RNA (533 nucleotides) under Homo sapiens (human). RNAcentral's name for it is "HSALNT0363189". The record is from RNAcentral. Lineage: Eukaryota; Metazoa; Chordata; Mammalia; Primates; Hominidae.
CCAGAAAGCGGGCUAGCCUGCACGCACGCCAAGAUGGAGCUCCAGGCUAGCCCACAGAACAGCCCAGCCGCAGCCGUCCUACCAGACCAGCACCUUGUAACCACAGUCUAACCCAGCGGGCACCAGGCGGUGAGACCUCCUGCCGCUGCCAGCCCAGGAUAGCCCCCUUGCCUCUUGCCCAAGGCUCAGGCUACCCCUUGAGGCGUCUGGAGGACACUAGGCUUGACCUGGGGAGUGGCAUGAUGGGGGGCAGGGUCCGAGGCAACGGAGAAGGCAGAAGUGACUUAGAUUGUGAGUGCCACGGGGCUGAGGCCUGCGCCGACCUGGUCUGCUGGUGCUACCAGGCUUGAACAGUCUUCAAAUCCACUGCUAUUAGGCAAAUUACCUGGCUCCCGCUGAACUCCAGCACCUAGAACUAUGUCACACUCGUAGUAGGCCGCUGCAUUGGUUGAACAAAUGAUUUUGAAAGAAUGAAUGUCUUCCUCUGUGCCUGCAUUUCCUCAGAAGGCUGUAACAAAGAUUAAAUAGGAAAA